GAUAAACGCUGGCGGCGUGCCUAAUACAUGCAAGUCGAACGGAGAGCCUGUAGCAAUACGAGCUCUUAGUGGCGAAUGGGUGAGUAACGCGUUGGUGACCUGCCCCGAAGAGGGGAUAACAGCUCGAAAGGGCUGCUAAUACCUCAUGUGGUCUUCCGGAUUAGAAGCCGGAUUUCUAAAGCAGUAAUGCGCUUCGGGAGGGACCUGCGUCCCAUCAGCUAGUUGGUGAGGUAAUGGCCCACCAAGGCUACGACGGGUAGGGGACCUGAGAGGGUGGUCCCCCACACUGGCACUGAAACACGGGCCAGACACCUACGGGAGGCUG
This 325-nucleotide ribosomal RNA is filed under the name uncultured Chloroflexota bacterium. Its description in RNAcentral is "bacterial SSU rRNA". It matches the Rfam family "Bacterial small subunit ribosomal RNA", at positions 28 to 351 of the family's 1533-position model. The record is from RNAcentral. Lineage: Bacteria; Bacillati; Chloroflexota.